Long non-coding RNA from Grammomys surdaster, 625 nucleotides. RefSeq lists it as uncharacterized. The transcript has 4 exons. NCBI's taxonomy places the organism in Eukaryota, Metazoa, Chordata, Mammalia, Rodentia, Muridae. The record is from RefSeq and is a predicted model, not a curated record.
GCCAGUUCUCGCUCUCCAGAAUUGUACUGGCCUGAUUUAAGAGUGAUUCAGUUAUAACUACAAGUCUUCAGAGAAGGCCAGAUGAGAAGUGACAUUUUCAUCCUAUUAUACUAUACACUGCAUACUAUGACAACACACUAUCUGACUGGAUGCUGACCUUGAUCACGUGGCUGAAAUCAUAUUCUCUGUAUUCCUCUACUGUAAAGUUAUGCUUUGUUUCCCCACUUUCCAUGUGUACUUUAAAAGGAAAUCCUUUCUCGUCUUCCCAAGGUGUGGAGUGAGUAUGGACAAGACCUGGUUGCCCCAAGAUGAGAAAGUCUACCUGAAGACCCAAGUGACAGACCCAAGUGACUAUGUGACCUUUCUCACAAGUUAUUUCUGAUUGGAAAUACUUCUCAGAUUUGUAAAACUACUCUGGAAAUCAAUUUGGCAGUUUCUCAGAAAAUUAGGAAUAUUUCUACCUAAAGAACAGCUGCACUACUCUUGGGCAUAUAUUCAAAAGAUGCUGCACCAUCCCACGAAGACACUUGCUCUACUAUGUUCAUAGCAGCUUUAUUUGUAAUGGAAACUGGAAACAACCCAGAUAUUCCUAAAUGCAGAAUGGAUGAAGAAAAUAUGGUACAUC